GAUGAGUUCUCCCUGAGACUUUAAGUCUCCUGAAGGAACGUUGAAGACGACGACGUUGAUAGGCCGGGUGUGUAAGCGCAGCGAUGCGUUGAGCUAACCGGUACUAAUGAACCGUGAGGCUUAACCUUACAACGCCAAAGAAGU
RNAcentral lists this ribosomal RNA (144 nucleotides) under Cronobacter sakazakii. Its description in RNAcentral is "partial 23S ribosomal RNA". The stretch from base 1 to 128 matches the Rfam family "Bacterial large subunit ribosomal RNA", at positions 2803 to 2925 of the family's 2925-position model. Lineage: Bacteria; Pseudomonadati; Pseudomonadota; Gammaproteobacteria; Enterobacterales; Enterobacteriaceae. The record is from RNAcentral.